This 253-nucleotide ribosomal RNA is filed under the name uncultured bacterium. RNAcentral describes it as "partial 16S ribosomal RNA". It matches the Rfam family "Bacterial small subunit ribosomal RNA", at positions 524 to 776 of the family's 1533-position model. The record is from RNAcentral.
UACGGGGGGGGCAAACGUUGUUCGGAAUCACUGGGCAUAAAGGGCGCGUAGGCGGCUUUUCAAGUCAGGGGUGAAAUCCGGCAGCUCAACUGUCGAAGUGCCCUUGAUACUGAUGAGCUCGAGGGAGGUAGGGGUGUGUGGAACUUCCGGUGGAGCGGUGAAAUGCGUUGAUAUCGGAAGGAACGCCGGUGGCGAAAGCGACGCACUGGACCUCUUCUGACGCUGAGGCGCGAAAGCUAGGGGAGCAAACGGG